AUUAAAACAUGAAUUUAAAUUAAAUUGCAAACAAGAGGAGGACAAGACGUCUGGAUAAAAAUGGAAGAGUUAUCGGGAACAGCUCAGUGAGGAAUUCUGGCUGGGGGCGGAAGCAUUAAAAACAAAACCACAAACCAGUGGGUGCUGAAGUCAUCCAAGCAUAGGCUUUCCAACAGCCCAGGACCUAAUCAAGGAGCCUUUGCUCAGGAGAGGUCAUCAAGAGCCCAUCUAACAGUAAGUCCUGUGUACACCCAUUUCCAUCCAGCUGCUGACAGAGAUGAGGCAGGACAGGCAGUGACUUGGAGCUCCUCUGAUGUCAGGCAACCAUCCUGAUGCGCAUCUAAGAUUCCUUUCAACUGGAGCUGCCUCAGCUGUCACCCAAAUACUGCUGUGGAGGAAGAUAAACUUCUGAAUUUGCAGGGUUUCCUUU
Chelonia mydas (Green sea turtle) is the source of this 430-nucleotide long non-coding RNA. RefSeq lists it as uncharacterized. The record is from RefSeq and is a predicted model, not a curated record. Lineage: Eukaryota; Metazoa; Chordata; Testudines; Cheloniidae. The transcript is spliced from 3 exons.